AAUGAACGCUGGCGGCGUGCCUAACACAUGCAAGUCGAACGAACCUGAUGCCUCGACUAGCAAUAGGAGAGGCGCAGGUUAGUGGCGAACGGGUGAGUAACACGUGGGUGACCUGCCCUGAAGUGGGGGAUAACUACCCGAAAGGGUAGCUAAUACCGCAUGUGAUCUGCCAUUCGGUUGGCAGAUUAAAGGCCUGUAUAGGUCGCUUCAGGAGGGGCCCGCGGCCGAUCAGGUAGUUGGUAGGGUAACGGCCUACCAAGCCGAUGACCGGUAGGGGGCGUGAGAGCGCGGCCCCCCACACUGGCACUGAAACACGGGCCAGACUCCUACGGGAGGCAGCAGUGAGGAAUAUUGCGCAAUGGGCGAAAGCCUGACGCAGCAACGCCGCGUGGGCGAUGAAGGCCUUCGGGUUGUAAAGCCCUUUUCUGGGGGACGAGGAAGGACGGUACCCCAGGAAUAAGUCUCGGCUAACUACGUGCCAGCAGCCGCGGUAAAACGUAGGAGGCGAGCGUUAUUCGGAUUUACUGGGCGUAAAGCGCGUGCAGGCGGCUCUGUAAGUCAGGCGUGAAAUCUCCCGGCUUAACCGGGAGGCUGCGUCUGAUACUGCAGGGCUAGAGGUCGGGAGAGGGAAGUGGAAUUCCCGGUGUAGCGGUGGAAUGCGUAGAUAUCGGGAGGAACACCAGUGGCGAAGGCGGCUUCCUGGCCCGCACCUGACGCUCAGACGCGAAAGCGUGGGGAGCGAACG
This 745-nucleotide ribosomal RNA is filed under the name Anaerolineaceae bacterium enrichment culture. RNAcentral's name for it is "bacterial SSU rRNA". It matches the Rfam family "Bacterial small subunit ribosomal RNA", at positions 28 to 774 of the family's 1533-position model. Lineage: Bacteria; Bacillati; Chloroflexota; Anaerolineae; Anaerolineales; Anaerolineaceae. The record is from RNAcentral.